RNAcentral lists this ribosomal RNA (274 nucleotides) under uncultured bacterium. Its description in RNAcentral is "partial 16S ribosomal RNA". It matches the Rfam family "Bacterial small subunit ribosomal RNA", at positions 523 to 796 of the family's 1533-position model. The record is from RNAcentral.
AUACGGAGGGUGCAAGCGUUACUCGGAAUCACUGGGCGUAAAGCGCGCGCAGGCGGUCUUUUAAGUUGGAUGUGAAAGCCUACGGCUCAACCGUAGAACUGCAUCCAAAACUAUUAGACUAGAGUGUGGGAGAGGAAGAUGGAAUUAGUUGUGUAGGGGUAAAAUCCGUAGAGAUAACUAGGAAUACCAAAAGCGAAGGCAAUCUUCUGGAACACUACUGACGCUGAGGCGCGAAAGCGUGGGGAGCAAACAGGAUUUGAAACCCCAGUAGUCC